RNAcentral lists this ribosomal RNA (503 nucleotides) under uncultured bacterium. RNAcentral's name for it is "partial 16S ribosomal RNA". It matches the Rfam family "Bacterial small subunit ribosomal RNA", at positions 30 to 523 of the family's 1533-position model. The record is from RNAcentral.
AUUGAACGCUGGCGGCAGGCUUAACACAUGCAAGUCGAGCGGGGUGAUGGUGCUUGCACUAUCACUUAGCGGCGGACGGGUGAGUAAUGCUUAGGAAUCUGCCUAUUAGUGGGGGACAACAUCUCGAAAGGGAUGCUAAUACCGCAUACGUCCUACGGGAGAAAGCAGGGGAUCACUUGUGACCUUGCGCUAAUAGAUGAGCCUAAGUCGGAUUAGCUAGUUGGUGGGGUAAAGGCCUACCAAGGCGACGAUCUGUAGCGGGUCUGAGAGGAUGAGCCGCCACCCUGGGACUGAGACACGGCCCAGACUCCUACGGGAGGCAGCAGUGGGGAAUAUUGGACAAUGGGGGGAACCCUGAUCCAGCCAUGCCGCGUGUGUGAAGAAGGCCUUAUGGUUGUAAAGCACUUUAAGCGAGGAGGAGGCUCUUUUGGUUAAUACCCAAGAUGAGUGGACGUUACUCGCAGAAUAAGCACCGGCUAACUCUGUGCCAGCCGCCGCGGUAA